RNAcentral lists this long non-coding RNA (1363 nucleotides) under Volvox carteri. RNAcentral's name for it is "long non-coding RNA (VCAR_LNC003788)". The record is from RNAcentral. Lineage: Eukaryota; Viridiplantae; Chlorophyta; Chlorophyceae; Chlamydomonadales; Volvocaceae.
CGGACUGCCAUAGGGAUGACGACAGUGUAAGGUAAAGGCCAAUGAUUUAGCAUUCAUAACAAGAAUCUGUCUUUCUUCCUCUAUAAUGGCGCACCUUUCAUUCGCAGGCAAGCAGCAGGAAGCAGGAAAAGGGGGACUAGACGGCACCAGCAGUACGUGGCCAUCAUGCAGGUGCAUAUAUGCACUGUAUAUAUGCAUAUAUGCACUGUAUAUACACUGACAUUCUGCCUUGCCAUUUUACAUUCCAAGGACACGAGCAGAAGGAGAAUCGCAAGGAACAGGACAAGCGCAAGGAUGGUAAGGAUAUGAACAAGAGUCGGGCUCAAACGGGACGUGGCAGGCCACCCUAUGGCAGUCCGGAGACGUGUAACUCGUCAGGCUCGGUAGCUACGGGGCAGUUGUCUGGACAGGUUACUCGCCAGCUAGAAGCUUGAUAAAUGUGCAACCUUGAAAGUGUCAUAAUUAGGCACAGAUAUGCGCGCUGAGUGUGUGAAAUGUUAUGACGAGGUUAGUUAACAUGUUUGCCAUCAAAUAUGAGUGUAGGGAGGCAUUAUUUGUCCUUACGAUUUGCUCUCUACCUACGGCCAUUUGGCAGUCCAGAGACGUGUAGCGCCCAAGGCUCAGCAGCUACGGGACGGUUGUCUGGACGAGGUUACUUUUGACGUGCAGCCCCGAAAGCACAUUGGGAAACAUGAAUAUAGCCGGUGAACUUAUCAUAAGUGAAAUUUAGGUUACUUAGGGUGUUUGCCACUUGUUUUGGUGCUCCGAUGUAACAUGACCAUUGGUAGUCAUGGUCAAGGCCCAAAGGAACGCCGAUUGUUCCAGCACAAAGUAGAAUAUAGUUGAUGAACAAAUAAGUACAUAGGCAAGGUUACCCGAGGCCGACGUCGAUCGACCUGGUCGACCAGGUCCGCCAAUGUAGUGGGUCCAUGCCACAAUAUCCGAAAGUCGGCUGAAAUCAUUUAAAACCUUGUCAGGUUUACUGAACAAAAUUACGACCGACGAGGUUUCCAUGCAAUUGGCUGACAUAACCGCUCAUGUACGGCUUUGGCUAUUAUGGCUUCAAUGUCCAAUGUCCCAAUGUAGGCAGGUAGUGGUGGGCCACAUCUGUGCCACGGUUGUGUGUUUCGUUGUGGAUUCGUUACCCGUUGCCCUCUUUCUUGUUCCUGAUGCUAUGGAGGGUGGCUGGGGCUGGUUGGGGGAGGGGGGCGUGUAUGUUUCGCCUCCGUCAUUGACGUGCCUGCCCUAAUUGUCAUGUUCCCAUCCAUGUGCUGCACGUGCAGCAGGCCUCGGAAGAUGGGGCCGACGUCCAGCCGGGAAUGGAGGUAAGAUGGGGGCGAGGGUCGGGGCUCUUAUGUGUUUU